Molecule: transfer RNA, 64 nt
Filed under: Sinelater perroti
Lineage: Eukaryota; Metazoa; Arthropoda; Insecta; Coleoptera; Elateridae
Description: tRNA-Leu
Rfam family: tRNA
About the family: Transfer RNA (tRNA) molecules are approximately 80 nucleotides in length.
Source: RNAcentral
UCUAAUAUGGCAGAAUAGUGCAAUGGACUUAAAUCCCAUAAAUAAAGUUAAUCUUUUUUUAGAA